RNAcentral lists this ribosomal RNA (2923 nucleotides) under Klebsiella pneumoniae. Its description in RNAcentral is "bacterial LSU rRNA". It matches the Rfam family "Bacterial large subunit ribosomal RNA". The record is from RNAcentral. Lineage: Bacteria; Pseudomonadati; Pseudomonadota; Gammaproteobacteria; Enterobacterales; Enterobacteriaceae.
GGGUUGUGAGGUUAAGCGACUAAGCGUACACGGUGGAUGCCCUGGCAGUCAGAGGCGAUGAAGGACGUGCUAAUCUGCGAAAAGCGUCGGUAAGGUGAUAUGAACCGUUACAGCCGGCGAUGUCCGAAUGGGGAAACCCAGUGCAAUUCGUUGCACUAUCGUUAACUGAAUACAUAGGUUAACGAGGCGAACCGGGGGAACUGAAACAUCUAAGUACCCCGAGGAAAAGAAAUCAACCGAGAUUCCCCCAGUAGCGGCGAGCGAACGGGGAGCAGCCCAGAGUCUGAAUCAGCUUGUGUGUUAGUGGAACGGUCUGGAAAGUCCGACGGUACAGGGUGAUAGUCCCGUACACCAAAAUGCACAGGCUGUGAACUCGAAGAGUAGGGCGGGACACGUGGUAUCCUGUCUGAAUAUGGGGGGACCAUCCUCCAAGGCUAAAUACUCCUGACUGACCGAUAGUGAACCAGUACCGUGAGGGAAAGGCGAAAAGAACCCCGGCGAGGGGAGUGAAAAAGAACCUGAAACCGUGUACGUACAAGCAGUGGGAGCACCUUCGGGUGUGACUGCGUACCUUUUGUAUAAUGGGUCAGCGACUUAUAUUCUGUAGCAAGGUUAACCGUAUAGGGGAGCCGCAGGGAAACCGAGUCUUAACUGGGCGUUAAGUUGCAGGGUAUAGACCCGAAACCCGGUGAUCUAGCCAUGGGCAGGUUGAAGGUUGGGUAACACUAACUGGAGGACCGAACCGACUAAUGUUGAAAAAUUAGCGGAUGACUUGUGGCUGGGGGUGAAAGGCCAAUCAAACCGGGAGAUAGCUGGUUCUCCCCGAAAGCUAUUUAGGUAGCGCCUCGUGAACUCAUCUUCGGGGGUAGAGCACUGUUUCGGCUAGGGGGUCAUCCCGACUUACCAACCCGAUGCAAACUACGAAUACCGAAGAAUGUUAUCACGGGAGACACACGGCGGGUGCUAACGUCCGUCGUGAAGAGGGAAACAACCCAGACCGCCAGCUAAGGUCCCAAAGUCAUGGUUAAGUGGGAAACGAUGUGGGAAGGCACAGACAGCCAGGAUGUUGGCUUAGAAGCAGCCAUCAUUUAAAGAAAGCGUAAUAGCUCACUGGUCGAGUCGGCCUGCGCGGAAGAUGUAACGGGGCUAAACCAUGCACCGAAGCUGCGGCAGCGACACUAUGUGUUGUUGGGUAGGGGAGCGUUCUGUAAGCCUGCGAAGGUGACCUGUGAGGGUUGCUGGAGGUAUCAGAAGUGCGAAUGCUGACAUAAGUAACGAUAAAGCGGGUGAAAAGCCCGCUCGCCGGAAGACCAAGGGUUCCUGUCCAACGUUAAUCGGGGCAGGGUGAGUCGACCCCUAAGGCGAGGCCGAAAGGCGUAGUCGAUGGGAAACAGGUUAAUAUUCCUGUACUUGGUGUUACUGCGAAGGGGGGACGGAGAAGGCUAUGUUAGCCGGGCGACGGUUGUCCCGGUUUAAGCAUGUAGGCUGGUUGUCCAGGCAAAUCCGGAUAAUCAAGGCUGAGGUGUGAUGACGAGGCACUACGGUGCUGAAGUAACAAAUGCCCUGCUUCCAGGAAAAGCCUCUAAGCAUCAGGUAACAUUAAAUCGUACCCCAAACCGACACAGGUGGUCAGGUAGAGAAUACCAAGGCGCUUGAGAGAACUCGGGUGAAGGAACUAGGCAAAAUGGUGCCGUAACUUCGGGAGAAGGCACGCUGGUGUGUAGGUGAAGUCCCUGCGGAUGGAGCUGAGACCAGUCGAAGAUACCAGCUGGCUGCAACUGUUUAUUAAAAACACAGCACUGUGCAAACACGAAAGUGGACGUAUACGGUGUGACGCCUGCCCGGUGCCGGAAGGUUAAUUGAUGGGGUUAUCCGUAAGGAGAAGCUCUUGAUCGAAGCCCCGGUAAACGGCGGCCGUAACUAUAACGGUCCUAAGGUAGCGAAAUUCCUUGUCGGGUAAGUUCCGACCUGCACGAAUGGCGUAAUGAUGGCCAGGCUGUCUCCACCCGAGACUCAGUGAAAUUGAACUCGCUGUGAAGAUGCAGUGUACCCGCGGCAAGACGGAAAGACCCCGUGAACCUUUACUAUAGCUUGACACUGAACAUUGAGCCUUGAUGUGUAGGAUAGGUGGGAGGCUUUGAAGCGUGGACGCCAGUCUGCGUGGAGCCGACCUUGAAAUACCACCCUUUAAUGUUUGAUGUUCUAACGUUGGCCCCUUACCGGGGUUGCGGACAGUGUCUGGUGGGUAGUUUGACUGGGGCGGUCUCCUCCCAAAGCGUAACGGAGGAGCACGAAGGUUAGCUAAUCCUGGUCGGACAUCAGGAGGUUAGUGCAAUGGCAUAAGCUAGCUUGACUGCGAGCGUGACGGCGCGAGCAGGUGCGAAAGCAGGUCAUAGUGAUCCGGUGGUUCUGAAUGGAAGGGCCAUCGCUCAACGGAUAAAAGGUACUCCGGGGAUAACAGGCUGAUACCGCCCAAGAGUUCAUAUCGACGGCGGUGUUUGGCACCUCGAUGUCGGCUCAUCACAUCCUGGGGCUGAAGUAGGUCCCAAGGGUAUGGCUGUUCGCCAUUUAAAGUGGUACGCGAGCUGGGUUUAGAACGUCGUGAGACAGUUCGGUCCCUAUCUGCCGUGGGCGCUGGAGAAUUGAGGGGGGCUGCUCCUAGUACGAGAGGACCGGAGUGGACGCAUCACUGGUGUUCGGGUUGUCAUGCCAAUGGCACUGCCCGGUAGCUAAAUGCGGAAGAGAUAAGUGCUGAAAGCAUCUAAGCACGAAACUUGCCCCGAGAUGAGUUCUCCCUGAGACUUUAAGUCUCCUGAAGGAACGUUAAAGACGAUGACGUUGAUAGGCCGGGUGUGUAAGCGCAGCGAUGCGUUGAGCUAACCGGUACUAAUGAACCGUGAGGCUUAACCUUACAACGCCGAAG